UACGUAGGGGGCAAGCGUUGUCCGGAAUCAUUGGGCGUAAAGCGCACGUAGGCGGACUCUUAAGUCGGUGGUGAAAUCCUGGAGCUCAACUCCAGAACUGCCUUCGAUACUGGGAGUCUCGAGUCCGGGAGAGGUGAGUGGAACUGCGAGUGUAGAGGUGAAAUUCGUAGAUAUUCGCAAGAACACCAGUGGCGAAGGCGGCUCACUGGCCCGGUACUGACGCUGAGGUGCGAAAGCGUGGGGAGCAAACAGG
This 253-nucleotide ribosomal RNA is filed under the name uncultured bacterium. Its description in RNAcentral is "partial 16S ribosomal RNA". It matches the Rfam family "Bacterial small subunit ribosomal RNA", at positions 524 to 776 of the family's 1533-position model. The record is from RNAcentral.